RNAcentral lists this RNase P RNA (199 nucleotides) under Escherichia coli. RNAcentral describes it as "partial RNase P RNA component class A". It matches the Rfam family "Bacterial RNase P class A", at positions 1 to 176 of the family's 367-position model. Rfam says of the family: Ribonuclease P (RNase P) is a ubiquitous endoribonuclease, found in archaea, bacteria and eukarya as well as chloroplasts and mitochondria. Its best characterised activity is the generation of mature 5'-ends of tRNAs by cleaving the 5'-leader elements of precursor-tRNAs. Lineage: Bacteria; Pseudomonadati; Pseudomonadota; Gammaproteobacteria; Enterobacterales; Enterobacteriaceae. The record is from RNAcentral.
GAAGCUGACCAGACAGUCGCCGCUUCGUCGUCGUCCUCUUCGGGGGAGACGGGCGGAGGGGAGGAAAGUCCGGGCUCCAUAGGGCAGGGUGCCAGGUAACGCCUGGGGGGGAAACCCACGACCAGUGCAACAGAGAGCAAACCGCCGAUGGCCCGCGCAAGCGGGAUCAGGUAAGGGUGAAAGGGUGCGGUAAGAGCGC